UGGGGAAUCUUGCACAAUGGGGGCAACCCUGAUGCAGCGACGCCGCGUGAGCGAUGAAGCCCUUCGGGGUGUAAAGCUCUUUCGACCGGAACGAUAAUGACGGUACCGGGAGAAGAAGCUGCGGCUAACUACGUGCCAGCAGCCGCGGUAAUACGUAGGCAGCAAGCGUUGUUCGGAGUUACUGGGCGUAAAGAGUGCGUAGGCGGUUUUCUAAGUUCGGUGUGAAAUCUCCCGGCUUAACUGGGAGGGUGCGCCGAAGACUGGGAAGCUGGAGUGUGGGAAAGGCAGGCGGAAUUCCUGGUGUAGCGGUGAAAUGCGUAGAUAUCAGGAGGAACACCGGCGGUGUAGACGGCUUGCUAGACCAUAACUGACGCUGAGGCACGAAAGCGUGGGUAGCAAACA
RNAcentral lists this ribosomal RNA (402 nucleotides) under uncultured bacterium. RNAcentral's name for it is "bacterial SSU rRNA". It matches the Rfam family "Bacterial small subunit ribosomal RNA", at positions 355 to 774 of the family's 1533-position model. The record is from RNAcentral.